AAACUGUAGUGACACGGAAGGUAAGACAGAGCCGGGAAUGAGAAAACCGGUGCAAGCACAAUAGAUGUGUGGGAGGAAAAUCCCCCGCAUAAGCCAAAGGUGUGAUGCGGACCGAAAAAGAGUAGGGAAGCUGUUAAGCAAGCCGUCAAGAAAAGCUGCUAUUGUUUCAUUAUGGCCCGUACCGUAAACCGACACAGGUGGAUGGGGAGAGAAUCCUAAGGCCGGCGGAAGAAGUAUUGUUAAGGAACUCGGCAAAAUGACCCCGUAACUUCGGGAGAAGGGGUGCCUGCGAGAGCAGGCCGCAGAGAAGAGGCCCAAGCAACUGUUUAGCAAAAACACAGGUCUAUGCAAAACCGAAAGGUGAGGUAUAUGGGCUGACGCCUGCCCGGUGCUGGAAGGUUAAGGGGAGUGGUCAGGAAACGAAGCCACGAACUUAAGCCCCAGUAAACGGCGGCCGUAACGAUAACGGUCCUAAGGUAGCGAAAUUCCUUGUCGGGUAAGUUCCGACCCGCACGAAAGGCGUAAUGAUUUGGGCGCUGUCUCGACAAUACAUCCGGUGAAAUUGAAGUGCCAGUGAAGAUGCUGGCUACCUGCGCCAGGACGGAAAGACCCCAUGGAGCUUUACUCCAGCUUGAUACUGGGACCCGGUAUUGCGUGUACAGGAUAGGUGGGAGGCUAGGAAAUGUGGACGCCAGUCUGCAUGGAGCCGCUGUUGGGAUACCACCCUUGUGGUGCUGGGUUUCUAACCAGAGGCCGUGAACCGGUCUGGGGACAAUGUCAGGUGGGGAGUUUGACUGGGGCGGUCGCCUCCGAAAGGGUAUCGGAGGCGCCCAAAGGUUCCCUCAGAAUGGUUGGAAACCAUUCGAAGAGUGCAAAGGCAGAAGGGAGCUUGACUGCGACACCGACGGGUGGAGCAGGUACGAAAGUAGGGCUUAGUGAUCCGGUGGAAUUUAAGUGGGAAUGCCAUCGCUCAACGGAUAAAAGCUACCCUGGGAUAACAGGCUGAUCACUCCCAAGAGUUCACAUCGACGGAGUGGUUUGGCACCUCGAUGUCGGCUCAUCGCAUCCUGGGGCUGAAGUCGGUCCCAAGGGUUGGGCUGUUCGCCCAUUAAAGCGGUACGCGAGCUGGGUUCAGAACGUCGUGAGACAGUUCGGUCCCUAUCCGGCGUGGGCGUAGGAUAUCUGAGAGGAGCUGUCCUUAGUACGAGAGGACCGGGAUGGACUGACCUCUGGUGUACCGGUUGGCGAUCAACGCCACGGCCGGGUAGCCAUGUCGGGACGGGAUAAACGCUGAAGGCAUCUAAGCGUGAAGCCCCCCUCAAGAUGAGAUAUCCCAUCGUAAGAGUAAGACCCCUUGGAGACGACGAGGUUGAUAGGGCAGGGGUGGAAGUGCUGUAAGGCAUGGAGCUGACUGCUACUAAUCGGUCGAGGGCUUGACCU
This 1440-nucleotide ribosomal RNA is filed under the name metagenome. RNAcentral describes it as "bacterial LSU rRNA". It matches the Rfam family "Bacterial large subunit ribosomal RNA", at positions 1461 to 2925 of the family's 2925-position model. The record is from RNAcentral.